RNAcentral lists this long non-coding RNA (9409 nucleotides) under Capsicum annuum. RNAcentral describes it as "long non-coding RNA (CANN_LNC009814)". The record is from RNAcentral. Lineage: Eukaryota; Viridiplantae; Streptophyta; Magnoliopsida; Solanales; Solanaceae.
UAACCAUGGAAAUUCCUUUUGCCCCUCCGAUUUAUGAAAGAUAAAUUUUUGAGAAAAUAUCCAUGGAAUAUAAAACCUGUGGAAAAAUUAUAAAAGCAGAGAAAUUUGAAGAUCAUCGUGAAAUCUCUGUGUCAAUUAUUCAUAUCCUUCUCGAACUGGAGGAGGAAGAAUCUCAAACUCAUGAUCAUAAAUCUUCCAUCAUUGGUGCAAGAGCCGUUGGAGAAAUUCCGAAGCCAGUUGCUUUCCCUAGAGAAAAAAUCAAAAAUGUUUGUCAGUUUUAUUUUGAAAGAUGAAUGCAUUCAUCCAUACUCUUUAGUAGUCAAAAUAGUUAUAAUAUUGGGGAUUAACAGCUUUAGUAAGUUUCUGAUAUUUGGUUGGAUGCAUACCCUAUUUUUUGGGUGAGAUUAUUUUGUUAAUUCAAAUCGUGGUAUGAGUAACAUAAGAUUGGGUUUGUUUAUCUUUGUGGGAUUUGAAUAAACAGGACUUGGUAUCUGUGAGGAUAAAUUCAUAAAACUCCUGGUUAUAGGCAGAAGUAUUUUAAAUAAAAUUUACUGAAGAGAUAAGUAUUUGCUUAGCUAUCUCUUGGGGGUUGGAGUGGUAAUAUUCAGCUUCAAUUUAUAUUAGCAGCAAAAUACUAUCAUUUUUGAAAUCAGUUAAAGAUCCUUUAUUGGAGAAAAUUGAUUGUGUUAUAUGUGAGGAAAUUAUUUUUCUUGGUAUAGGACAAAUAUUUAAAUUAUUUUGUGAAAAGUUAAAGAAAAAAUUGAUAGAGUUUUCUACCUUCAUUGUAUUUUUCAUAGUGCUUUUAGCAAUCACAGAAUGAGAAGAUGAUGUGUGGCUUGAGGCCUCCGCUUUUGAAGAAAAUAUUUUCUGAAAGAUCUGUAAAUCUCUUAGAUAAUCCUUUCUGUUAGCGCCUAUCAUGAUCGUUGGAUCUUUAAGACCCAUGAGUGAGCACAAUUGUUUAAAAUCAUCUUCUAUCCAUGGGACAAACACUGUUUGGGCUAACUGAACCUUUUUUCCUUCUUCUUCUUCAAUUAAAUCAUUCCAUUUCUUGAGAUUGGAAAUUGAUAUUGGAUUUGAACUUGUUUGCAUCAUAAAAUAUUGAGGUAUUCCCUGCAUGGCAUAAUCAGAUGGGAUUUGAUAUCUUGGCUGAUCUUUUUUAGUUGUUUUUGUUGAAAGUUGCUUGGACGCAACCGUAAUUUUUUGCUAUGGGGUAAUAACUUUUUGGGUGGUCUCUUUUGGGGAUGGAAAAGACGAAAUUUGUGGAAUAGUUUCUUCGUUCUUUUUUCUGGACAUUUUAUCUUCCCUGCAAGAAUUUUCUAGUAAGAAAUUCUGGUACAGAGUUGGAGCUCCCUUUUAUAUAUUCAAUAUCAAAAUAAAAAAUAAAUAAAAUAGCUUGCCAACUAAAAAAUAUAUGCUUAAAGGCUAGAUUUUGUACAUCCUUUUGUAAAACAACUUUUGCAGCUUUACAAUCUAUCCUAAACAAAAAAUUUUGAUUUAAUAAAUCAACUUGAAAUUUAGAAAUACAUAACACAAUCACUAAAAUUUCUUUUUUGACAGUUGGAUAGCUUUGUUGGGAUUUAUUUCAAUGCUUGGAUGCAAAUGCAAUUGUAUGUUCUUUAUUAUUUUUCUUUUAUUUUAAAAAGCCACCAUAACCUAUAUCUGAUGCAUCUGUCUCAACUAUUUUGAAUGCAGAAGGAUCAAGGAGGGACAGACAAGGGAGAUUUUUGCCUUCAAUUUGAUUUCUUUGACUAUAUUGAUAUAGAUGUUAAUCCACAGAGGAAGAGGCAUUUUCAAUCUGUCAUGGAGUGGUUUUAAUAAAUUGUUAAGUCUGAGGAUAAAAUCUUCUAUAUAAUUGACACAACCUAAAAACCUUUGGAGUUGAGUUUUAUCAAGAAUAUGGUCAGAAAAUUUAUUAGUAAAUUGAAUGGACCGUUGAAUCAGGGUAAUAUUUUCCUAAUAGAUAUUGUGACCGAGAACUCCAAUAUCAAUCCGAAAAUGACUAUACUUAAUUUUAGAUAAAAUUAAGCCAUUUUUCCUGAUGACAUUAAAGAAAAUUCAACAUCUGGGUACAUGCGUAAGUCCUCAUAACUUAGCCCUUUCAACCCCUUACUACAUUUAAGAUGUUCCAACCUUUUCAAUCAAAAAUUGUAUAAGGGUGACUUUUUUUGUGUGUUUGGAUUCAUAUUAGUGGUGGGUGAAUGGGGUCGUUUUGACAUAACUUGGAUCUAAAAUAUGGCUGCUUGGAUCAUGAAAAUGAGCAUAUUUGUGGUAAAUAUUGACGGCAUAUUAUGAACAUAUGAUGUUGUUUAAGAAUUUAGUAGAGCUGGAUAUGUAUGGCAUUCUGGUAGACAUGAAUAUGGAUAUGGGUAAUUUUUUAGAAGUGUGUAUAUGUGACUUGAAUUGUUUGGAGGUAUGAAAUAGGAAGUGAUGAUAAGGGAUGACUUGUAAAUGUGACAUGAUAUUUGAUAGCGGCAUUACCCUCAGCUUACGUCUCGAGAGGAGUAUUUAAAGUAGGGGUAGAUUAGACAAGUUACAGGCUUGUGACAAUUCCGCUUGUAAUUGAAAAUUCUUUGUUGCAUUCGUAAGAUCAUCUCAUAAUGCUCAUUACUAGUAUCGUUUUUAUCACCCAUUUUUCUGUCUUGGUGACUAAGCUUUAAGAGAAGGAGUUUGAGCCUUUUCAAUUAAUGCAAUAGGCGAGAAAAUGUGCGAAUCGAUCCUUUGGUGUGGGGAAAAAAAUAAAAUUAACCAUAAAAAUAAAAUAAAAAUAAAAAAAGAGUCAAGUUAGUAAAGUGAAGGUGAUGUAUAGUGAAAGAAUAAACACGUUAAUUUGCAAGAAUAAAACAUUCUAUAGUGUAUGGAGCCUUAUUAGGUCUGAGGUAGGCCUAGAAUGACACAUAUAUGUGACUUGUGAUAUUAUAAUCUAUGUUUAACGCAAUAAAAGUUUGGAAUUAGAAUAUCCUAAGCUCAUUGGCUCAAUCUUUGUUUUGGAUUACUUUAUCAUGAUCACAAGACGCAUCGCAUGAAUAUUUAUUGUUGGAAGGGGUAAGGAGAGAAUAAGGAGAUACAAUCCAAAUAGUGUUUUUCCUUGGGCGAGAAGAAAAAUGAUGAAAUUUUUCUGAAUAUUGAGAAUAUUUAACAUAUCACGAAUUUUCAAAAGAGUCGAUUGGGAAAAUGAUAACUUAAAAAAAGUACUUUGAACAAAAUAAGAGCCAGUAUACAGAAUAAAAGAAGAUAUAUUAUGACAUUAUGAGUCAUCUAAUCAAAGAGAACUUUAGGACGAAUGGAUGAGUUAGAACUUAAGCUUGAGAAGGAAAUUGAUGUCAAAAGAUAAAAGAUAGACUAUAAACAAGAUCUAGGUACUAAGUUUGUAUUUGAAGCUGAUGGAGUGAAUAAGUAAAUAAUGAUAAGAUGUUUAAAAGAUGCACAUAAAAUGUUUAAAGAAGUUUUGUCUUGAAGAAAUGGAAGGAUUUGAAGAUUUCAAAAGUUUGAAAAUUUUGAAGAGUUAACUGAGGUAUUUAGCUUGAAACACUUGAGAAUUUGAAAGAUUAUGCAAAAAAUUAUUCGAGUAAUCCAAAGAAAGGUUCUAGUUUUCACCCUUAUAACAUUAUGAAAAGGUGAAAGAAAGGGGAAUAUGAUUUGGUAGAAAAACUAUUUGAAUGAUAAAGAUUGUUUCACAAUUUUAAAUAUAGGGAUAUUUUGUAAAAGAAAGGGAAAAUAAAGACCGCACCCUUAUAAAGGAUUGCCUAUGUAUCUUGUUAGAACAAGAAUCAGAUCAGACGUAGUUCAAAAUUUGAGACUUAUAACCAGUUACAAAAAGCAGGUCGAGAUGAAUUAUAGAUGAAAUAAUCAAGGAAUGUUGUCAAAUAUAAAUAUAAGAACAAAUUAAGAAAAUAACAAAUUUGACAUAUGCAUAUAAGUCAUGAAGACAUGCUAGAUUUAUCAGGAUUUAUAUUCCUCAGUAAAGAAAUAUACGAUUAAACUCUAGAUAAUAAGAGUGAUUUUUGACAAGGUUCCCUCAAGCAGACAACUUGAGAGUGAAAAAGCUUGUGACUGUCGACGCACCGCUAAUCGACCGAUCCACAAGACAUUUCACAAAGGGUGUUUUAGGAAAGAACGUCUGUACAACCACGCUACCGUUCGUAAAACGAAAAUAAAGGAGGUUCCAAGUAGAGGAAAGUAUGACCGAAAUGACAGUUUAUCGAAAGCGGUAACACAUAGCACAUAGCAAAAAUACAAUGACAUAUUCAACAAAAUAACACAACAUAUAGUCAAAUAUUAAGGAAAAAGGGAAAAUGGGAUAAACAUGAAGGGGCAUAUAAAAAAAAAUAAAAAGGAACAGGGGAAAGGGUUAACAUGUAGCAAAAUAAAUUAUGAUAGUAAAAAAAAAAUAACAUUACACAAACAUCAUAAAUACAAAUUCAGAAAAAUAAAAAAUCUCACGUAAAAUAUAAAUUCGUAAUGUUUAGAACCUAAGUAUCCCCAGUAGAAUCGUCAUUCUGCCACGCCUUAUUUUUCUCGCAAAAAGGGAGAUUUGACGUGACAACUCUUUUUUGGAAUUGUUAACAGAGUGAGAAGAGUCGCCACCUAACGAAUUAAGGUGCGUUAGGGAAUCAUUCUAGGCUAAUUAUGAACCUAUCUUGUUAUUUAGUCUAUUUCAUAAGAAAUUCGGGUAAGGGUUCAAAUUACUUCGAAAGGAAGGUGUUAGGCACCUUUCGAGGUCCAUAAAGAUGGUUACCGACCGAAUUCAUACUUUACAUGGGGAUUCUCUAUGAUAAAUAAAGGUCUCUUAUUUUGUAAACUUAAUAUAGCUAAGUGAUAAGGUAAUGAAUAAACAAACAUGUAAUUUGAUUAUUUUAACUACAAUUACAUAAGUGAUAAAAUCAAUUAGCAUAUAAAUAAGACAAGCGAGGAGAGAGAAUGAGCACAAUUUAUGACAAAAUACUUAUAUUAAAUUAAAGAUCCUAAACUUCCCCAAGCAAAUAAACAUAUAAAAUAAAAGAGAAAGAAAACAAGUACAGAGGAUUAAACAAAGGAGUUAAUUUAUUUUAUUCAGAUCAGUACCCAACUUGUUAAUCAUCACCCGACCCAUUAACCAGAAACCGAAUUAUAAAUGAAUAACAGUAUCGUAUGUCGCAUUGUCUAAUUAUACUUGGGUUAUCAUCACCUUUGAUUGUCUACCCACCCCCACCUAGGCUGGUUGUCAAACCUAAAAGCGUUCUAAAAGAAAAGGAUAAAACUAACACCUCUAAAAUACCUGUCGUCCCAACCUAUCAUCCAAGAGGAAUUAAAAUUUUCUAUUUUGAAUUUGGGGUCUAGACAAAUAAAACUAGGUUUUCUAGUUAGAUUCUAAGUGCAUAAACACAUAGGACAACAUUUAGCAUAUAAAAGUCUCAAAGAAGCCUCUUAUUAUAAUUAAGGAUUAGUUAAAGUGAUCUAUAAGCUAAGACAAAUAAUUACUCAUUUUGGUGUCACUAACCUAUAGGCAUGAUGUCUAAGUGAAAAGUAAUUAUUUAUUGAUGAAAAGUAAUUGUCAAACCAUUUCAAAACAAUAUUAUAGAUUUAUUAAAAAGCAUGUCGAAAUAAGGUAAAAUACGUUAGGGAGUCAUAUCCAUUAAUUUCGUUAUGCAAAACAUAUUAUAAAUCAGUAAAAGUGUUAAAAGAGUUAAUUUUAGAGCUUAGGGAGCAUAUGCAUUUGCCGAAAAUAAUUAACAUGUAAGAAAUUAUUUCUGAGAAUCAAAAGAAUAUUGCUGGAAAUUAAUUUUAAUACUAAAAAUAUUAUUUAAAGUGGUGAAAAUGUCAUUUGAUGUUGAAGAUUAAAAUUUUAUUGCUGAAAUAUUAUGAAAUCUGCUCAAAGUUAAAGUUAAUUGCUGGAAAUUAAUAAAUAGUGCUGAAAAAUUAACUUAAGGACAAAAAGUGAGUUAAUUCCUCAUGCAUCACUUAACUUAGAAAAAUGUCUUACUAAAGUCACUUAUCUUUUUUUUUAUUUCAAUAAUGUCAUUCAACUUUAUACAUUUUUCCUCUCAAACAAAAAAUUGCUAAAAUAGUCCUUGUUCUUUAUGGGAAAAAUGAGCAAAAUAGUCCCUUUAAGUUAAACCAUGAAUUUAAAUAGUCUUUAUUCUUUUACUUCAAUAUUAAUAUGCCUCCAACUAUAUUACACAUUUUUAAUUCAUUACAUACUCCCUCUAUCCCGGCACUCCAUUUUACACGGUGAUUAAGAAAUAAAAAAUUGAAUGAAAUUUUAUUAUUUUACCCUUUAACAAUAUUAAUGACAUGGGCAAUGAAUAUUGAAAUUGAAAUUGUUCACAUUUUAAUGUAUACUAUGAAUUGUAGGGGUAUCAUGAAAAAAAAUAAUUGAUUCUAUUUUGAUCUAGUAAGUGCUCAACAAACAUGAGUCAUUUAUUUUUAGUAUGACGACCAACUAAAAUGAGACGGAGGCAGUAAUGAAAUUUAAAAAGACAUAUCACAAUAUUAUAAAGCAAAAGAUAAAAUAAAAUUGAGAGAUGUAUUUAGUUUUUAAACUCCAUUUGAAGAGGUAAUAUAAUUUUUUUUCCAAAUAAUAUUACAAGAUUGACAAAAAUAAUAUUUAAAAAUUUUAACAUUUUUAAUCACACAAUGGUUAUAUGAAUUUUUCUAAUUUUAUUUGAUGUUGAUUGAUAUAUGAUAUUAUCAUGAUGUCCUACGACAAUAUUUUAAUUUGUUAUAGAAAUUCUUUAAAAUAUUUAUAUAUGAUUGUUUUUCUGCUAGCUAGAGAGUCGUAAGGUUAAAGAGAUUCACCGUCUUCUAUAUGAAUUAUGAUUUUACUGACAUUUAUUUUUAGAAGAAACUAACAAUUAAAUUUGACCUAUUAUAAAAAUUAAUCAUAAAAUAAAUAAAUAUAAAAUAUUAUUUUAGCUCUGAACUACUAAGUACCAAUCACAUUUUCUGGUGGACUACAUACUUUAAUAUUACAACUAGAAGUUGAAUUAAAAUUAUACACACUAUUUUUUAUAGUUAAAAAGUUAUUAAUAUUUCAUAUUGUUAAAGAACAUUGAUCAUUUCAAUUCAAAAAUUAACUUAAGAGACUAUUUUGGUUAUUUUCGUUUAAAGAAUAAGGACUACUUUAACAAUUAUUAAUUUGUAGAAAAAUAUACAAAAUUUAAUGACAUUAUUUAAACAGAAAAAAGAUAAAAAAUGAUUUUAGUGAGAUACUCUCCUAAGUUGAGGGAAUUGACUCGACAAAAAGUUAAUAAAACAUGUGGGGAAACUACAUAAGCAUGCUGUAAAAAUAAAUUAAGGUUUGAAAAUAUAUCAAAGUUAUAAAAACGUUCCAUAAAUCAAAUGAAAAGUUCGAAAUUAAUUUAAUAGGCCAAAGGUUAAUUAAAACCUCUAGAAUGAAAUUUCUAGGUGAUAAAACCAAUUUAUUGUUAAUCCAAAAUUAAUGAUUUGCCUAAGUGAGAACAAAAUCACAUAGUCCCCGCCCCCUCAAGCAGUUCUCAUUUUAUUACUACAAUACAUGGUUUGUACAAUAAACUAUUACAUGUCCAAAAAAAAUGGAAAGUGAAAAGGAAACAGAAAAAACAUAAGGAAUGAGGGUUAACAACAUCCCCCAAUUUUCGACGACUCUUCAUUUACGUCGAAGGGCUAGAUAGCAUCUGUAGUACAGACAACAUAUCCCAAAUGCACAACAAACAAACAUAUAGCAUUCUAAUUGAAAGAACAUACGGAGACAAUGAUGAAUUCACCAACAUGUCAUGUCAAACAACUUAAUAUAAAUUAGAAGGCAAUCAAGACAAACAUCGGAUCAUUUAAUCUAACGUGUAAUAAUUCAAUAUGUUGUUUAUGAAACUAACCAUUUUAGUGACGACAACCAAGUAAACAAAAGUCCGAGAAUCAGCACACACGUAGCAAUCGUAGUGAGACACCAACUCCAAAUUUCUUUUAGCAGUAUCAGCCGAAAGAAUAAAAAAGAAUUUAUUUUUGUUUUUCGUAAAGCCGAAGUAGUUAAAAACCUUUUUUCCGUGAUCGCCAGUGAAAAAGUUCUGAUUUUUCUUAUAAUGAGGUGGGUCCUUUAUAUAGUGAAGAAGUCACCAUGUAAAAGGAAGAGGAAUAUUCACCUGGUUAAUUGCGGGGGGUAAAACGGGAUGAAAAUAUUUCAACAUCAAUUGAGGAAAUAAAAGAGGAAAAAAAUAUCCAAAUAAAAAUCAAUUCAAUAAAAGAAUUCGUAAUGAGGAGGAAAAUAUGCUAAGUUAUCAUAAAUAAACCCAUACAAAUCUAUCAAAAACUGUACAUUAUUGUGAGUUUUACUCUAAGGAAGCUAUUAAUUCGAUUAAAAAUAUUAAAUUAAGCAAAAUAGUUGUUCUCAAUCACCCACAAAUCAAAUAUGUGCCUAAAUUAUUCAAGUAACAAAGCUGUCAUGCAAAGGAAGAAAAGAAAAUCGUAGACCUUAUCAAAAUUAACUAAACACCAAAAUUAUCUCAAUUAGGAGGGUGAACAGUCAAACUUUUUAUCAAGAAUCAAACAAUCAGCAUUUAAUAACGUCAAAUAUUAUUUUGCUAAUUGUAUCAAAAAUCAGUGCAGAAUCAUAUCAUAUUUAAGCGGAGCGGCAAGCAUAAUCGGUCUUAGCAUACAUCAUGACUCCUUUCUAUCGGUGUCAUCCAAUUAAUUUAACAGCUUCAAUUGAUAGACGAGAACACAACGAUUAGCAAAUCAGUACCCAAUUUUAAAAAUUAAGGUUAUCUAAGGUUGAUAGAAAUUGGGGCUUUUCAGAUGUGGUAGUCUAGGGAUGCAAAUAAUCAUGAAAUUGAAAAGAUUGAGAAGGAAUUAACAAUCAAAAUGUAUAAAUCAUGAGAAUCAGCCUAUGCAACACAUAUAGAUUUGACCUAAUUAAACACACAAUGGGUUAUAUAAAAUCACACCAGAGAAGAAUUUAUAAAGAAUUUUAAUCUGAAACCUUGCAAAUCGUCCAAACCAUUGAUGUAUCACACGGGUCUUUCUUUACUCUGGCGAGACAGUGGGUUUAAACAACUAUUGGUGAUCGUUCGGUGAUUGUAGAAGCGGCGGCAACACUUCUUGUAGGAGUGGUGAUCGUCAGCAGGAGAGGAGAAUGGAGCAGGGGCCAUAGUUAUGGAUGCUCCGCCGGCUACUGCUGGCGGUGGGUGGCUGUUAUUGUUGGUAUAACGGGGAUGCAUGAAGAGAGGUUUUUGGAAGAGAGAAAAGACAGAAGAGAGGUACGGCGGAGGUGCGGUCGUCGGCGACAGGCAGUGAGGAGGUUCGCCGGCCCUGACUGAUUUCUAUAGAGAGAGAAGAGAGAGAGGGAGAGAGAAAAAGUUGUAGAUGAUUAUUAAAAGUAGUUAGGGUUAGGGUAAUUAUUUGUGAGAAGAAUAAGAUUUAAUCUCAGUCGUCGAUCAUAUGAGAUUGACGACUAUGAUUA